CCCUUAGAUGUUCUGGGCCGCACGCGCGCUACAAUGAUGAAUUCAACGAGUUUAUAACCUUGGUUGAAAAGCCUGGGUAAUCUUUUGAACUUUCGUCGUGAUGGGGCUAGACCCUUGCAAUUAUUCGUCUUCAACGAGGAAUUCCUAGUAAACGCAAGUCAUCAGCUUGCAUUGAUUACGUCCCUGCCCUUUGUACACACCGCCCGUCGCACCUACCGAUUGAAUGGUCCGGUGAAGGCUCCGGAGGCGUCUUUCUCAAUGUUUAUUCGGCGAGAUUGGUGCCAAAGUUGAAUGAACCUUACCAUUUAGAGGAAGGUGAAGUCGUAACA
RNAcentral lists this ribosomal RNA (329 nucleotides) under uncultured eukaryote. Its description in RNAcentral is "partial 18S ribosomal RNA". It matches the Rfam family "Eukaryotic small subunit ribosomal RNA", at positions 1470 to 1796 of the family's 1831-position model. The record is from RNAcentral.